This 429-nucleotide ribosomal RNA is filed under the name Actinomycetes bacterium. Its description in RNAcentral is "Actinobacteria bacterium partial 16S ribosomal RNA". It matches the Rfam family "Bacterial small subunit ribosomal RNA", at positions 355 to 776 of the family's 1533-position model. Lineage: Bacteria; Bacillati; Actinomycetota; Actinomycetes. The record is from RNAcentral.
UAGGGAAUCUUCCGCAAUGGGCGAAAGCCUGACGGAGCAACGCCGCGUGAGUGAUGAAGGUCUUCGGAUCGUAAAACUCUGUUAUUAGGGAAGAACAAAUGUGUAAGUAACUAUGCACGUCUUGACGGUACCUAAUCAGAAAGCCACGGCUAACUACGUGCCAGCAGCCGCGGUAAUACGUAGGUGGCAAGCGUUAUCCGGAAUUAUUGGGCGUAAAGCGCGCGUAGGCGGUUUUUUAAGUCUGAUGUGAAAGCCCACGGCUCAACCGUGGAGGGUCAUUGGAAACUGGAAAACUUGAGUGCAGAAGAGGAAAGUGGAAUUCCAUGUGUAGCGGUGAAAUGCGCAGAGAUAUGGAGGAACACCAGUGGCGAAGGCGACUUUCUGGUCUGUGACUGACGCUGAUGUGCGAAAGCGUGGGGAUCAAACAGG